CCUACGGGGGGCAGCAGUGAGGAAUCUUGCGCAAUGGGGGAAACCCUGACGCAGCAACGCCGCGUGAGUGAGGAAGGCCUUCGGGUCGUAAAGCUCUGUCAGAUGGGAAGAAAUGGGUGGGGGCUAAUAUCGUCCAUCCUUGACGGUACCAUCAGAGGAAGCACCGGCUAACUCCGUGCCAGCAGCCGCGGUAAUACGGGGGGUGCAAGCGUUGUUCGGAAUCAUUGGGCGUAAAGCGCGCGCAGGCGGCUUGGUAAGUCAGAUGUGAAAUCCCUGGGCUUAACCCAGGAAGUGCAUUUGAUACUGCCUCGCGAGAGUACGGGAGAGGAAAGUGGAAUUCCUGGUGUAGAGGUGAAAUUCGUAGAUAUCAGGAGGAACACCGGUGGCGAAGGCGACUUUCUGGCCCGAUACUGACGCUCAGGCGCGAAAGCGUGGGGAGCAAACAGGAUUAGAUACCCCAGUAGUCG
RNAcentral lists this ribosomal RNA (467 nucleotides) under uncultured Syntrophaceae bacterium. RNAcentral describes it as "bacterial SSU rRNA". It matches the Rfam family "Bacterial small subunit ribosomal RNA", at positions 338 to 796 of the family's 1533-position model. Lineage: Bacteria; Pseudomonadati; Thermodesulfobacteriota; Syntrophia; Syntrophales; Syntrophaceae. The record is from RNAcentral.